Long non-coding RNA from Rhagoletis zephyria (snowberry fruit fly), 103 nucleotides. RefSeq lists it as uncharacterized. The record is from RefSeq and is a predicted model, not a curated record. NCBI's taxonomy places the organism in Eukaryota, Metazoa, Arthropoda, Insecta, Diptera, Tephritidae.
GAAAAGGUGAUUGCCAACAGGAACCAUUGUGGAAGAAUACAAGUGAGAUAUCUUAGGGUUGACAGAUAGUUGACAGGGUAUUCAAUAUGGCGAUGACAGUGUG